This 32-nucleotide non-coding RNA is filed under the name Rattus norvegicus (Norway rat). Lineage: Eukaryota; Metazoa; Chordata; Mammalia; Rodentia; Muridae. The record is from RNAcentral.
ACAUUGGAACUGAAUUAUUUGUUUGUGGUAGU